AAAAGCUUAAGUUAAUAAACUAAUAUCCUUCAAAGAUAGAAUUUCCUCCCUAGUAGUGU
Molecule: transfer RNA, 59 nt
Filed under: Armadillidium vulgare (common pillbug)
Lineage: Eukaryota; Metazoa; Arthropoda; Malacostraca; Isopoda; Armadillidiidae
Description: tRNA-Trp
Source: RNAcentral